UACGGAAGGCAGCAGGGGGGAAUAUUGCACAAUGGGCGCAAGCCUGAUGCAGCCAUGCCGCGUGUAUGAAGAAGGCCUUCGGGUUGUAAAGUACUUUCAGUCGUGAGGAAGGUGUUAAGGUUAAUAACCUUAGCAAUUGACGUUAGCGACAGAAGAAGCACCGGCUAACUCCGUGCCAGCAGCCGCGGUAAUACGGAGGGUGCGAGCGUUAAUCGGAAUUACUGGGCGUAAAGGGCACGCAGGCGGUUAAUUAAGUUGGAUGUGAAAUCCCCGGGCUUAACCUGGGAAUGGCAUUCAAGACUGGUUAGCUAGAGUCUUGUAGAGGGGGUAGAAUUCCAUGUGUAGCGGUGAAAUGCGUAGAGAUGUGGAGGAAUACCGGUGGCGAAGGCGGCCCCUGGACAAAGACUGACGCUCAUGUGCGAAAGCGUGGGGAGCGAAACAGGGAUUAGAUAC
RNAcentral lists this ribosomal RNA (453 nucleotides) under uncultured bacterium. RNAcentral describes it as "bacterial SSU rRNA". It matches the Rfam family "Bacterial small subunit ribosomal RNA", at positions 340 to 785 of the family's 1533-position model. The record is from RNAcentral.